Molecule: ribosomal RNA, 105 nt
Filed under: Periophthalmus magnuspinnatus
Lineage: Eukaryota; Metazoa; Chordata; Actinopteri; Gobiiformes; Gobiidae
Source: RNAcentral
AUCAGGUGGCAACCUUUCCAAUGCCCGAUCUCGUCUGGUCUCACAGUCUAAGCGGGGUUGGACCUGGUUAGUACUGGGAGGGAAGACAGCUGGGCUUACCUGGUG